GACGAACGCUGGCGGCGUGCUUAACACAUGCAAGUCGAACGGUAAGGCUCCAGCUUGCUGGGGUACACGAGUGGCGAACGGGUGAGUAACACGUGGGUGACCUGCCCUGCACUUCGGGAUAAGCCUGGGAAACUGGGUCUAAUACCGGAUAGGACCGCACCGUGAGGGUGUGGUGGAAAGUUUUUUCGGUGUGGGAUGGGCCCGCGGCCUAUCAGCUUGUUGGUGGGGUAAUGGCCUACCAAGGCGGCGACGGGUAGCCGGCCUGAGAGGGUGGACGGCCACAUUGGGACUGAGACACGGCCCAGACUCCUACGGGAGGCAGCAGUGGGGAAUAUUGCACAAUGGGCGGAAGCCUGACGCAGCGACGCCGCGUGGGGGAUGACGGCCUUCGGGUUGUAAACUCCUUUCACCAUCGACGAAGGGUUUCUGACGGUAGAUGGAGAAGAAGCACCGGCUAACUACGUGCCAGCAGCCGCGGUAAUACGUAGGGUGCGAGCGUUGUCCGGAAUUACUGGGCGUAAAGAGCUCGUAGGUGGUUUGUCGCGUCGUCUGUGAAAUUCCGGGGCUUAACUCCGGGCGUGCAGGCGAUACGGGCAUAACUUGAGUACUGUAGGGGAGACUGGAAUUCCUGGUGUAGCGGUGAAAUGCGCAGAUAUCAGGAGGAACACCGGUGGCGAAGGCGGGUCUCUGGGCAGUAACUGACGCUGAGGAGCGAAAGCAUGGGGAGCGAACAGGAUUAGAUACCCUGGUAGUCCAUGCCGUAAACGGUGGGCGCUAGGUGUGGGUUUCCUUCCACGGGAUCCGUGCCGUAGCUAACGCAUUAAGCGCCCCGCCUGGGGAGUACGGCCGCAAGGCUAAAACUCAAAGGAAUUGACGGGGGCCCGCACAAGCGGCGGAGCAUGUGGAUUAAUUCGAUGCAACGCGAAGAACCUUACCUGGGCUUGACAUAUACAGGAUCGCGCCAGAGAUGGUGUUUCCCUUGUGGCUUGUAUACAGGUGGUGCAUGGUUGUCGUCAGCUCGUGUCGUGAGAUGUUGGGUUAAGUCCCGCAACGAGCGCAACCCUUGUCUUAUGUUGCCAGCACGUUGUGGUGGGGACUCGUAAGAAACUGCCGGGGUUAACUCGGAGGAAGGUGGGGAUGACGUCAAAUCAUCAUGCCCCUUAUGUCCAGGGCUUCACACAUGCUACAAUGGUCGGUACAGUGGGUUGCCAGUCCGUGAGGGCGAGCUAAUCCCGCAAAGCCGGUCUCAGUUCGGAUCGGGGUCUGCAACUCGACCCCGUGAAGUCGGAGUCGCUAGUAAUCGCAGAUCAGCAACGCUGCGGUGAAUACGUUCCCGGGCC
RNAcentral lists this ribosomal RNA (1340 nucleotides) under uncultured bacterium. RNAcentral describes it as "partial 16S ribosomal RNA". It matches the Rfam family "Bacterial small subunit ribosomal RNA", at positions 28 to 1380 of the family's 1533-position model. The record is from RNAcentral.